RNAcentral lists this ribosomal RNA (421 nucleotides) under uncultured Methanoregula sp. RNAcentral's name for it is "bacterial SSU rRNA". It matches the Rfam family "Archaeal small subunit ribosomal RNA", at positions 322 to 747 of the family's 1478-position model. Lineage: Archaea; Methanobacteriati; Methanobacteriota; Methanomicrobia; Methanomicrobiales; Methanoregulaceae. The record is from RNAcentral.
CCUAUGGGGGGCAGCAGGCGCGAAAACUUUACAAUGCGGGAAACCGUGAUAAGGGAACUCUGAGUGCCCGUUAAAUCGGGCUGUCCAUCAGUUUAAAAAACUGGUGAAGAAAGGGCCGGGCAAGACCGGUGCCAGCCGCCGCGGUAAUACCGGCGGCUCGAGUGGUGGCCACUAUUACUGGGCUUAAAGCGUUCGUAGCUGGUUUGUUAAGUCUCUGGGGAAAUCUUCCGGCUUAACCGGAAGGCGUCUCAGGGAUACUGGCAGACUAGGGACCGGAAGAGGUGAGAGGUACUCCAGGGGUAGGAGUGAAAUCCUGUAAUCCUUGGGGGACCACCUGUGGCGAAGGCGUCUCACCAGGACGGCUCCGACAGUGAGGGACGAAAGCUGGGGGAGCAAACCGGAUUAGAUACCCCCGUAGUCC